UGUGUGUGUGUCUUCUUUCAGCGAGCUCAACUUGGAGCUGCUCGUCACAUCGUGUUGUCUCGCUUACACUACAGCAUCGAACCAUCGCUCCGUAUGUCCCCCCCCUCCUACGCGUACAAAACCACCAGUACAGCGCGACGCUUUGUCGGAGAUGGUUGUGCGUGUUUCGUUCUAAGUCCCGCGCGCAGUGUUUGUGCGUUGGUGCGCAUUUCGUCAAAGUCUCGUGCGCUGGUGAGUUUUGGUGAAGUGUGAAGUAAAAAAACAGUGUGUACAGACGCAUAUGCAGUGCGGGCAUCGACAGGUAAGGAUCCAUUUAUUCACAGAUAUGUGUUUGCUGGAUGGAGGUCGUACUUAGCAGGACGACGACAUGAUGUGUGUUUUUGUUAGGUUCUAAAUGUGUGACGAAAGUUUACAUUAAGUUUCAAUAAAGUGUUUAAUGUAACCAAAAAUGACCGUGUUUGUGUUUGCUUUUAGAAUAAGUGCGCAUUUGCGAUCGUGUCUAUUCAUUAAAGAAAACGAGAAACGAAAGAAACAACUAUCUUUACAUGUGUUCGUAGCAUGGCUCGAAAGAACACAAACACAUUGAGAACUGCAGAGCGCACCGUCCGUUACGGGUGGGGUGGGGGAGGGCUCGCGUGAGUGUGUAACUCAUUAGUCGAAGGGACACUGUAUUUCGACAGCGUCACUCAAAUCACUCAAAAAAUACACUCAUUUUGCCGGACGGGUCUCGCUACCCCUGGCCAUAGUUUAAAGGAAUCAUGCGACACACUCGCACUCCACUACCCCAUCCCAUGGAAAAACGCUCCCACCAUCGAGGUGUUGACCAACAUUUCGCUGUGUGCAUGAGACUCACACUCACACUCCUCCACCUCUCCAUAGCCAAUCGCUCCCACCGUUGCGAAGUUGCGAGAAUUUUUGCUCUGAGCGUGAGACCCUGAAGCGCAAGAGAUGACACUAUGUGUAAAGACGAUCAUAAUACGAUACGGUCAAAAUGCGUGGAUUAUCGUUUCAUUUAUCUGGUAAUGAUGAUUUCAGUUCAUCAAAAUUUUAAACGUUCACAACUUUGCUGAUAACAAUAUUUGAAAUGUAAAUCAGAAUAAAAUCAAUUCAUUUGAAGUAAAAUAAAUACCAUUAUACUCUAUUUUGUCCAUAUGAUCAACACUUGUACAUAGUGCCAUUUACUUUGUGUUCUUCACUCUCGCGCUGUGUGGUGAUCGUUCGAAACUCAAGGCCAGAACGAAUGCAAAUUUCAUAUGGGAAGGAUUGGUGCCGGUAGAUGCGAAAAUUAUUAAAUGUGAAUAGAAAAGUGGUUAAGUAAAUCGUGAAAGAUGUCAACGCAGGCGUAAAUGCAGUAUGUUUUGUUACAUGAUCUACGGCUAUUUCAUUACCAAAGCUCUUGAUAACAGAUCAAAGCAGAUGGAUCGGACAUACAGAGUCGCCGUUUAAUUUAAAAUAUCUGCGUGAUCGCAAACGCAUCAAACAGCAAGUGUUUUCCUUCCAACAGCACGUACCAUCGGUGGUGCAGCAGCUAACGUGUUGUUCGCCUAGCGCGCACCAUCAAGAAUUGAUAUUUUGCCAAACAGUACUGUGAAUAAAAAACUGCACACUUACUGUC
Anopheles gambiae (African malaria mosquito) is the source of this 1615-nucleotide long non-coding RNA. RefSeq lists it as uncharacterized. The transcript is spliced from 3 exons. Lineage: Eukaryota; Metazoa; Arthropoda; Insecta; Diptera; Culicidae. The record is from RefSeq and is a predicted model, not a curated record.